RNAcentral lists this long non-coding RNA (7891 nucleotides) under Physcomitrium patens. RNAcentral's name for it is "long non-coding RNA (PPAT_LNC006253)". Lineage: Eukaryota; Viridiplantae; Streptophyta; Bryopsida; Funariales; Funariaceae. The record is from RNAcentral.
UGAGCCAAAACCUUGUCAAAUUGCUCAAGAUAUAGCUCAAGACACAACCACUAGUAAAUCGAGUCACUUACUACCCUUAGAUUGUAUGCGCUGACUUCAAAAUCCAAUAACUCCUUCAUCUCAAUUUAGAAUCUAGCAAAGUAGUGUACAAAAAGUAUAGCUGCAAAAGUGCUCUAUCUAAUCAUGGUUGCCGAUCCUCAAUUUCCAUCUGUACGCGUGCGUUAUGUCAAAGAGUGACAGUAGCUCCCAAAUCAACACCUCAACUUUGAGUGCCUAUAUCUCUUUUGUAUAUACUCCAAAUCAUAUAAGAUUUAUACCAAAACUAUAGCCAAAAUCCUAAACUUGCUGAUUUUAGUCCUUACAGCUCAAAUGGCUCUAAAAAACUAACCCUAAUCUCUAAUAUGGCCUUAGGCGGCCUCCUCAAAGCCUAUUAGUCAUGAUUUUUGACCAAUAGGAAUGGAGAUUUUCAACAUUCAUCUCCAUUCAUCUAUAUUAGUGCCCUAAUUACUCUCUUUGUUACCAAAAUUCUUUUUCAAUCCUUUUUCUUAUAAGAUUUUUAUAAUUUAUGCUCUAAACAUCAAAUAAAAGAAUCAAAAUAAGUUUUCAAAGGUCACCAAUAUUUAACAAAGGUGACUCUAAAUAUUUAGAAGUUAUUAUCAACCAAAACCAAUCUUAAAAGUAACUAUCAAAAAAGAAAUUAAAUUUAUAAAAAUUCUAUAGUAAUCUUUUUAAAAAACCUCUUUUCAAGGUAAUAAUCAAGUUAUAUUCUACAACCAACUAGAAUCUAUUAACACGACUCUCACCAUGUUACUUAGCAAAUUAUAUAUUAAGUAUAUAGUUACAUUAUUUUCAUAUAAUAGCCAAAUCACAACACAACAUCCACCCUUUCUAAACCUGUGCAUCCUCUUAUAUGCACCAAGAAGAACUAAAGUUGUGGUCGGUAUCAUAUUACUUCUUCAAUAAUGUCUUCUUCAAAAUCCAAUUCUUCUUCUUCAUACUUGGAUAGAUCAAAAUCUUCUUCAAUGUCUUUGAGGACUAGUUCUUACUCCCAUUGUUAGAAAAGAUUUAUAUGUUUUCUUGUAAUUGGAAUUUUGAAUCUUGUUCCAUCUAAUUUUCCUUAACACAUAUGUAGCAUUAUCCAAAACAUGUACAAGCACAUAAGGUCCAAACCAAUGCUUAGAGUACUUUUUAAGAGCACUAUGUUGGUUAUCCAAGCUGUUGUUAUAUAUCAAAACCCAAUCACCUUCUUGAAUAUCUUUUAGCCUCAACUUGUGUUGCUUAUCAAAUCUAUCUUUAUUCUUUAAGUGAGACUUCUUCAGCCUUAUAAUUAAUUUUUUUCAUAUCUUCAGGUCUUCUGUCUAGUUGACGAAUUCAAAGUACAAGAAGCUCUUUUUUAGAUAUAUUAUCUUAAUAAGGCAAGAUAAUCCAAGUGGAUAUUUACUCUUCAAUUGGCAUAAUGGACUUUUGUCCUUGCAUUAACUCUGUCGACAUAUAUCUUGUCACUGUACUAUGAGUAGUAGGAUUAGCUCAAAGAGCAAAUGGUAAUAACCUUGGCCAUUCUCUUGCUCUUCCUUUACAAGUUUCAACAAUGGCCUUUACAAUAAGAGUAUAACCUCGCUCACUCUUAGCAUUGCUUUCUAGAUUAUAAGAUGUAGUAAGUGCUAGCUUGACUCCAUAUCUCUCAAAGAACUGUCUAGCCUUAUGUGCAUCCAAUUCUCCAUGAUCAAGAGUAAUUUUUUCAAUACAUCCAUAUUUACAAAUCACAUCUUCCAAUAAAAAUCUAUAAAUUCCUUUAGUGGAUUUUGUUUGUAGAGUUCUUUCUUCUACUUGGUUAGAUAAAUAUUUUCAUGCCAGAGCCAAGUACCACAUUUGCCAUAUCUCCAUAGACAUAGUAACUAGGUCCACAACCCAUUUAUAAUGUAUUGCAAGUGGAUAUAUAGGAUGCAAUCUAUCUCUAUGUCGAAUCUCUGAGUAUAUCUGACAAGUCUGGCAUGAUUCUACAAACUUCACCACAUCUCUAUAUAUGUUAUAUCACCAAUAUUUUUCUUUGAGCUUGUUAAAGGUAGCAUAAAUACCUCUAUGUCCAGCCUACAAACUAUCAUGGAAUUCAUGGAUUAAUUGUUCUUGCAUCUCUUUCUUGUAAACUAUUCUUUGUGGCAUUCGACUAUCUUGUUUGCAUCGCUUCUAUAGGUAACUACCUUAUAAGAGGUAGUUGUAAGCCUUCCGUUUAAUCUGUUUGAAAUGAGUAUGACUCCAUCUUGAUUGUCUUGAUAAUAAACUUAAAUGACAUCCAAUAUCAAUCCAUUCUUCUUCAUAUAAUUCUUCUAUAAAUGAACUUAGAUAUUCAUCCUCUCCUUUUUGUGUCCUAGAAUAGAAGGUAGUACCUAUAUCUUCAGUAUCUUCAAUUAAAUCUUCUUCUUGUUCAUAUCUAGCUCAAUGUAACAUAUCUGCUAUAAGAUUAUUCUUGCCUGUUAUAUGCCUAAAUUCAGGAUUCAAAGUUUUAAUAUAUGUAAUCUAUCUUAGCAUAGCAAUAUUAGGGGUGUUACAGUUAGUAAUCAUUCCCAAUAGUGACAAACAAUCUGUUUCUACUAUCACUGGUGUCCCAAUUAAAUAAUCUCUUUCAUUUUUCAUAGCUGUAACAAUCUCCAUAGCUCCCGUUUGACCUGUGGAUAGUUUCUUUGUCGUUCACUUAAUAAUUUAGCUCCAAAUCUAAUAGCAAACAUGUUACCUUCUUCAUUGUUUUGCCCUAAAGUCCAACCAACAACUAUUGGACUAGUAUCAACUGUAAGUAUCACCAAUUUGCCAUCCUCAUAAGUUAUCCUUCGUAAUACAGGUGAAAAAGAUAAUAAUUGCUUUAGCUUUUGAAUUAUUUCUAUGUGCUUCUUCUCCCACUUAAAUCUCUUAUUUUUUUAUAGUAAACUAUAAAGAGAAUGAGCUACAUGUACAUAAUGAGGAAUCCAUACAUAAUAAAAUAUGCAAGCUCCUAAAAUCCUCCGCACCUCUAUUUGUAAGCUACAAAUAUCCUUCAUUUAUUAUAUGACAUCCACCUUAUUAGGAUCAGGUUUGCAACCAAACCAUCUACACAAAUGCCCCACAAUAACAACUUUUCAAACUCCAAAGGUAGAUUUAGCUCUUGACAGUGUCAAGUGAACCUCCUCAAGUUGAGAAAAUUUUUUAUCACAGUUUAAAAAAUGACUAGAUACAAAUUUACGGCACCCCUUCUGAUCCAUUGUUUCAUUUUUCUUGUCUUCUACAUACCUUUUUAUUGGAAUAUCAUCCAAGAAAGACAUAGUCAUUUCUGGAAUAAAAUCACGAAGAACCUUAUUCAUCCCAUUCAUCAUGUGAGCUACCGAGUUUGUUGCUCCUUGUGGCAAUGUAUACAUCUUAACCAACUCUAAAGGUAUACUCAUAGUAGUGAUAUCUUUGCUUCCUUCAACUAGUUGAAAUUGAUCAUAUCCAGAAUAGAGAUCUUUAAUAGAGUAAAUAGCUCUACCAGCAAAUGCUUCAACAAAUUUUUCAACAAUAGGUCUAACUCCAAUAUUUCUAAUGGUCACUUGAUUCACUGGUUGCAUAUCUUGAAUGAACCGUAGUAUUCCAUUUUUCUUUGGUACUAUAAACCAAGGACUGGAAUAUGGUACAAAUGAUGGUUCUAGGAUCUUCAUUUGCAUCUUUUCUUUUAAAAGCUCCAUAAAUUUAGAUAGAUGCGCUUUAGGCAUUGAAAUUGGUCUUAAAUUCCAAGAAACAUGCGGAACUGUAAAUAUAAUCAUUGGUGCCACAAUACUUGGAUCAACACGUCCAAUUUCUGAAGGUUCAAAAGUAAAAGCCUUUUCAUACGUACUUAGUAUAUUUCUAAAUUCUAUUUCUUCAACAUAUAUUAAAAAAUUUGUAAAUCCUACUUUCAACUCAUUCAAUGUGUUCUUAAUAAACUUGUGGCCAAUUUCUUUAGGAUCCCAUAAGCCCUUCUCCUUCAAAGCUUGUUGAACUUGAUGAUUGGAAUCACUAGGUAAUGGUAUAGCUACAGGUUUUAUUUUCCUCUCUAUAAUUUUGUAACUAGUUUUAACUUUGACUUGAUAAUCUUGAAAUGCUUAUAUAGCUGAGUAGAGCUCUCUUGAAUGUACUUGUAUCACUUGAUCUUCAUUUCCUUAUUCAAUCUCUAAAAGUUCUUCCAUAAAAUCUUCUAAAUCAGUCUCCAUAUAUACACCUACUAUCUUAUCAUCUCCAUCAAGCACAUCUACUCUUUUUAGGUCUUUUUUUAUUCUUUUUACAACUUUUUUCUCCCACUUUGGUAGAUCAUUAAGUUGUAUAUAGAUAAUAAAUCCAUUCUUAGAUAAUUCUACAAUACAUAUAUAAAAGAUACUUUCUUUUUCAUGCGAGAGUACCUUCUUUGAUGUACCACUAUAUUCCUGCUCUAUAGUGGUAUCUUGUAAAAAUCUAUAAACACUUGACUAACUCUUGGUAAUAAAUCACUUCAUAAAUAAUCUCAAUUGCGCUCAUGGUUUGAAGGUAUUGUUAGAAUUAUACUACCUUUUUUCCAUCUUGACUUCUAAUACGGGUACAUAUUGAUCUGUCAUCGAAAAUCUUGGUCUCCAUCUUGAGAGGUGUAAUAUAUGGUUGACCAAGAAUCAUUGGGUAUGAAGUAGUGUUUUGAACAAAUUUUUUUUAUUUUGUGGUCACAUCUCCAAUUUUUAUCUUUUUAUUGAGGCAAGUACCAUAAAAAUCUCCUCGUGUAUUAUUUGCUGCCCGAAUUACUCAACUAUGGUUAGUAUCAAUGGGCCACCUUCCACAUUUAUAGACUUCUUUUGACAUAAUAUUAAUUUCAGUUCUAUGUUUAAUGAGAGCAAUUAUUGGAUCUACCAAGUCUUUCAUUUUUACUAAAGUCUCUCUGGUGGUUCUUGUCCAAUGUCCCUUGGUAUAGUGUCCAAGGCCCUUGUCAUCAUACUUGUAUUCAUCCAAAUCAAAUUAUCUUUUUUUAUUGAUACAACAUUCUACCAAUUCAUGUUCCUCUUCUUCAGUUAAGAUUGUAUCUAAAGCAUUACAUAUAGAAGAUUUUCCUGUCAACUGCCUCUUUCGCUUAAUGGUGUCGAUGAUGACUUCAUGAAACUCUCUCUUUGCAAUGCCUAAAAUUUCUUGUAGAAUAAAUUCAAUUUUGGCAUUCAAUAUUCUUUCUUCCAACACUGCUUUCAAAUCUGUGGCUACCUCAAUAUCUGAUUGUAGCUUGUAAGUAACAUGAUUACUCUUCCUUUGUCUUUAUCAACUUCUAUCUUUUCUUUCCAUUCUUUUUUUGGUAGUGGUACUUUUCUAGGAUGCAAUGUUGAUGGCCUAGCCUUAGAUGGUCUAUUAGCUUGUGGUAUAGGUAUUUCUUUAUUUUGUGUUGUUUCUGCAUACCUUUGAGAUCUCUUCUCGUUGAUUGGCUCUUCAAAAUUUUCUUCUAUUUCAUUUCUUUUCCUUUUUAGCUCCAUUAGAGCUUCAUGUUGGGAUUUUACCAAAUAGGUAUAUACAAACAUAGUAUAUAUAGGAUCAUCCCAUCUUAUGACAUUUCUAAUUAUUGUGGCUGUAUUAAGUAAUUCUUACCUUCUUAUUUUUUUAUUUAUUCAUGCUGAUAAUAGCAUGAUUCCAUAGAUCUCUUAUUUUUACAUGCUUGUCAAAAACAUCUUUCAUCUCCCUUAUAGCCUCAAUGCCAUAAGUAAUAGCUUCUCUUGAUGCCAUAGCCUAUUGAGAUAAAUGCUCUUCCAAAACCUUCUUCAUCUUUCUUUUUUCAAAAUUGGUUUCGAGAAACUCACAUGUAUCUUAUGACAUAAUUUUUCUAUAUUUCUAUAAAAUUACUCCUUAUCAUAAAAUAUUAGCAAAAUUUCCAUACUCUCUUUGAGCAUGCUCCAUACUAUCAUAUCAAAUACAUCUUUGUAUAUAUCCUGGCUUUAAUACAAAUUUAUUCUCAGGUAAUCCUUCUUUUUCUUCUAGCUUUGCCAGUUUGAUUUGUAAGUCUUUUAUUUCUUUUACCAACUCAUCAAUCGCAUCUUUCUAUGGUACAUCUGUAGACAUAGGAAUUGGAAUAGUACUUAUUGGAAUAGUAGAUUCUAGCAAUUGUCUAUGAGGUAUUGUAGUUGGUGAAGGUCUAAUUUCUUGCCUUACUACCACCUUAUCUCUUUGGUACUCUCUUUUAGCAAGUAUGCCCACAGCUUCAAAGACUUUCUUCCAAUAAGUAGUAAGUCCAUUGUCCUCUAUAUUAUCCUCCAAUAGUAAUUCCAACUCUCUUUGUAAAUCAUUGUCAGCUGAUUGAAGAAAUAACUCUACCCUAUCAUUUUCAAGUGUAAGCUUUUUCACUCGAGACAAUUGAAGAAAUUGUCUCUCAAAUUCUUGGAAUAACUCUGUUGCAACCAACCUCUUGUUGGAUUUAUUGAUGCAUUCUAUAAACGAUUUUCUUGUCAUUCUUUCUACAUCUUCCAAAGAAUACUCUUCUUUUAGUUGAAGGAUAAAAUCCUCCCAUUUUUCUCCAUGAGUUUUAAUAAUCUCUUUUAUAUGCAUACAAAGCUCUAGUACAACUGUAAGCUCAAAUGUUAGGAUCAUAUCUUUCUCCAAUACUUUAUUCAACUCCAUCUCUCGAGAAUAAUACUUAAGAUACUUAGAAAUAUUUCUUCCAUCAAAUUGAUCCAAUAAACCAACAAAAGAUUGCAAGGCUUUAGUAGCCAUUGCUUCCUUGUGUUCCACUGCUUGUUGUUGUUGCAUAAAAAGUAUAAAUACUUGAAAUAUUUGAGUUGUAGCAAGAUCAAGUUGAAAUGGAGAUUUCCAAAUGCAAUUCCUACUACUACUUUUUUUCCCUCUUUUAUAAUAGAAAGCCAAAAUAUUUCUUCAAAACUCUCUACCCCAAAAAUUUUCACGUCCGAUUCACUGAGUCUGUCGUAUCUCGUGAUUUGCUAUAUGGAAAUAUACUGGGUAUCUAGCUGUAGAGAGUUUAGUUUAAGCAUUGAUAUGAAUCUUGUCUUAGAUUCCAAAACUCCUUUGAUUUGCAUAAAACUCAAAAUAUAACAAAAUCCCUUCAAAAUAUAUUUUUUCUUCAAAGGAUUUUCUUGUCUAGAAAUUUAGAAAUUCAUUACUCUUGAUCUAGCCAUUUAGUUUGUUUCAAAUAUAUAGGAUAGGUAGAAUUCAUCUUUAAAUUUUACCACAAAAAAAUUAACUGCAAAUUCACUCUCGGUCUUUUGACAUCUAAGAAAUCCUAGUAGAUACUCUAAAUCCUAAUUUACAAGCACUCGAGCACUAUUUUCUUAAUAUCUCAAGAAUUCAAUACUCAAAUAUCAUACAAAGUUUAUUAACAUGAAUUUAUACAUUUUCUAAAAUUUUGAGCCAAAACCUUGUCAAAUUGCUCAAGAUAUAGCUCAAGACACAACCACUAGUAAAUCGAGUCACUUACUACCCUUAGAUUGUAUGCGCUGACUUCAAAAUCCAAUAACUCCUUCAUCUCAAUUUAGAAUCUAGCAAGUAGUGUACAAAAAGUAUAGCUGCAAAAGUGCUCUAUCUAAUCAUGGUUGCCGAUCCUCAAUUUCCAUCUGUACGCGUGCGUUAUGUCAAAAAGAGUGACAGUAGCUCCCAAAUCAACACCUCAACUUUGAGUGCCUAUAUCUCUUUUGUAUAUACUCCAAAUCAUAUAAGAUUUAUACCAAAACUAUAGCCAAAAUCCUAAACUUGCUGAUUUUAGUCCUUACAGCUCAAAUGGCUCUAAAAAACUAACCCUAAUCUCUAAUAUGGCCUUAGGCGGCCUCCUCAAAGCCUAUUAGUCAUGAUUUUUGACCAAUAGGAAUGGAGAUUUUCAUCAUUCAUCUCCAUUCAUCUAUAUUAGUGCCCUAAUUACUCUCUUUGCUACCAAAAUUCUUUUUCAAUCCUUUUUCUUAUAAGAUUU